This 131-nucleotide unclassified non-coding RNA is filed under the name rhizosphere metagenome. Its description in RNAcentral is "partial ribosomal RNA internal transcribed spacer region". The record is from RNAcentral.
GUAGGUGAACCUGCGGAAGGAUCAUUAGAAAUCAAAAUUUUUUUAUUCAAAAAAUUGAAACAUUUUAAAAUAAAAACCCAAAAAUUUUAAGAUAAUUAAGACAACUUUCAACAACGGAUCUCUUGGCUCUU